This 3662-nucleotide long non-coding RNA is filed under the name Pelobates cultripes (western spadefoot toad). The record is from RNAcentral. Lineage: Eukaryota; Metazoa; Chordata; Amphibia; Anura; Pelobatidae.
GUCCCUCCAUUCUCAUUCAGUAGUUAUGGUCCUGGCUGUCAUGGUUCACUAGUUAUGGUCCCUCCAUUCUCAUUCAGCUGUUAUGGGCCUGGCUGGCAUGGUUCAGUAGUUAUGGUACUGGCUGGCAUGGUUCAGUAGUUAUGGUCCCUCCAUUCUCAUUCAGUAGUUAUGGUCCUGGCUGUCAUGGUUCAGUAGUUAUGGUCCCUUCAUUCUCAUUCAGUAGUUAUGGUCCUGGCUGACAUUGUUCAGUAGUUAUGGUCCCUCCAUUCUCAUUCAGUAGUUAUGGUACUGGCUGACAUUGUUCAGUAGUUAUGGUCCCUCCAUUCUCAUUCAGUAGUUAUGGUCCUGGCUGACAUGGUCCCUCCAUUCUCAUUCAGUAGUUAUGGUCCCUCCAUUCUCAUUCAGUAGUUAUGGUCCUGGCUGACAUGGUCCCUCCAUCCUCAUUCAGUAGUUAUGGUCCCUCCAUUCUCAUUCAGUAGUUAUGGUCCCUCCAUUCUCAUUCAGUACUUAUGGUCCUGGCUGACAUGGUUCAGUAGUUAUGGUCCCUCCAUUCUCAUUCAGUAGUUAUGGUCCCUCCAUGAUCAUUCAGUAGUUAUGGUCCUGGCUGGCAUGGUUCAGUAGUUAUGAUCCCUCCAUUCUCAUUCAGUAGUUAUGGUCCUGGCUGGCAUGGUUCAGUAGUUAUGAUCCCUCCAUUCUCAUUCAGUAGUUAUGGUCCUGGCUGACAUGGUUCAGUAGUUAUGGUCCUGGCUGGCAUGGUUCAGUAGUUAUGGUCCCUCCAUUCUCAUUCAGUAGUUAUGGUCCUGGCUGGCAUGGUUCAGUAGUUAUGGUCCUGGCUGGCAUGGUUCAGUAGUUAUGGUCCCUCCAUUCUCAUUCAGUAGUUAUGGUCCUGGCUGGCAUGGUUCAGUAGUUAUGGUCCCUCCAUUCUCAUUCAGUUGUUAUGGGCCUGGCUGGCAUGGUUCAGUAGUUAUGGUCCCUCCAUUCUCAUUCAGUAGUUAUGGGCCUGGCUGACAUGGUUCAGUAGUUAUGGUCCCUCCAUUCUCAUUCAGUAGUUAUGGUCCUGGCUGGCAUGGUUCAGUAGUUAUGAUCCCUCCAUUCUCAUUCAGUAGUUAUGGUCCAGGCUGGCAUGGUUCAGUAGUUAUGGUCCCUCCAUUCUCAUUCAGUAGUUAUGGGCCUGGCUGGCAUGGUUCAGCAGUUAUGGGCCUGGCUGGCAUGGUUCAGUAGUUAUGAUCCCUCCAUUCUCAUUCAGCUGUUAUGGGCCUGGCUGGCAUGGUUCAGUAGUUAUGGGCCUGGCUGGCAUGGUUCAGUAGUUAUGGUCCCUCCAUUCUCAUUCAGUAGUUAUGGUCCUGGCUGAGAUGGUCCCUCCAUCCUCAUUCAGUAGUUAUGGUCCCUCCAUUCUCAUUCAGUAGUUAUGGUCCUGGCUGUCAUGGUUCACUAGUUAUGGUCCCUCCAUUCUCAUUCAGUAGUUAUGGGCCUGGCUGGCAUGGUUCAGCAGUUAUGGGCCUGGCUGGCAUGGUUCAGUAGUUAUGAUCCCUCCAUUCUCAUUCAGCUGUUAUGGGCCUGGCUGGCAUGGUUCAGUAGUUAUGGUACUGGCUGGCAUGGUUCAGUAGUUAUGGUCCCUCCAUUCUCAUUCAGUAGUUAUGGUCCUGGCUGGCAUGGUUCAGUAGUUAUGGUACUGGCUGGCAUGGUUCAGUAGUUAUGGUCCCUCCAUUCUCAUUCAGUAGUUAUGGUCCUGGCUGUCAUGGUUCAGUAGUUAUGGUCCCUUCAUUCUCAUUCAGUAGUUAUGGUCCUGGCUGACAUUGUUCAGUAGUUAUGGUCCCUCCAUUCUCAUUCAGUAGUUAUGGUACUGGCUGACAUUGUUCAGUAGUUAUGGUCCCUCCAUUCUCAUUCAGUAGUUAUGGUCCUGGCUGACAUGGUCCCUCCAUUCUCAUUCAGUAGUUAUGGUCCUGGCUGACAUGGUUCAGUAGUUAUGGUCCCUCCAUCCUCAUUCAGUAGUUAUGGUCCUGGCUGACAUGGUCCCUCCAUCCUCAUUCAGUAGUUAUGGUCCUGGCUGAGAUGGUCCCUCCAUCCUCAUUCAGUAGUUAUGGUCCCUCCAUUCUCAUUCAGUAGUUAUGGUCCUGGCUGACAUGGUCCCUCCAUUCUCAUUCAGUAGUUAUGGUCCUGGCUGAGAUGGUCCCUCCAUCCUCAUUCAGUAGUUAUGGUCCCUCCAUUCUCAUUCAGUAGUUAUGGUCCUGGCUGUCAUGGUUCACUAGUUAUGGUCCCUCCAUUCUCAUUCAGCUGUUAUGGGCCUGGCUGGCAUGGUUCAGUAGUUAUGGUACUGGCUGGCAUGGUUCAGUAGUUAUGGUCCCUCCAUUCUCAUUCAGUAGUUAUGGUCCUGGCUGUCAUGGUUCAGUAGUUAUGGUCCCUUCAUUCUCAUUCAGUAGUUAUGGUCCUGGCUGACAUUGUUCAGUAGUUAUGGUCCCUCCAUUCUCAUUCAGUAGUUAUGGUACUGGCUGACAUUGUUCAGUAGUUAUGGUCCCUCCAUUCUCAUUCAGUAGUUAUGGUCCUGGCUGACAUGGUCCCUCCAUUCUCAUUCAGUAGUUAUGGUCCCUCCAUUCUCAUUCAGUAGUUAUGGUCCUGGCUGACAUGGUCCCUCCAUCCUCAUUCAGUAGUUAUGGUCCCUCCAUUCUCAUUCAGUAGUUACUGUCCCUCCAUUCUCAUUCAGUACUUAUGGUCCUGGCUGACAUGGUUCAGUAGUUAUGGUCCCUCCAUUCUCAUUCAGUAGUUAUGGUCCCUCCAUGAUCAUUCAGUACUUAUGGUUCUGGCUGGCAUGGUUCAGUAGUUAUGGUCCCUCCAUUCUCAUUCAGUAGUUAUGGUCCUGGCUGGCAUGGUUCAGUAGUUAUGGUCCCUCCAUUCUCAUUCAGUAGUUAUGGUCCCUCCAUUCUCAUUCAGUAGUUAUGGUCCUGGCUGGCAUGGUUCAGUAGUUAUGAUCCCUCCAUUCUCAUUCAGUAGUUAUGGUCCUGGCUGGCAUGGUUCAGUAGUUAUGGUCCCUCCAUGAUCAUUCAGUACUUAUGGUCCUGGCUGGCAUGGUUCAGUAGUUAUGGUCCCUCCAUUCUCAUUCAGUAGUUAUGGUCCUGGCUGGCAUGGUUCAGUAGUUAUGGUCCCUCCAUUCUCAUUCAUUAGUUAUGGUCCUGGCUGGCAUGGUUCAGUAGUUAUGGUCCCUCCAUUCUCAUUCAGUAGUUAUGGGCCUGGCUGACAUGGUUCAGUAGUUAUGGUCCCUCCAUUCUCAUUCAGUAGUUAUGGUCCUGGCUGGCAUGGUUCAGUAGUUAUGGUCCCUCCAUUCUCAUUCAGUUGUUAUGGUCCUGGCUGACAUGGUUCAGUAGUUAUGGUCCCUCCAUUCUCAUUCAGUAGUUAUGGUCCUGGCUGGCAUGGUUCAGUAGUUAUGGUCCCUCCAUUCUCAUUCAGUAGUUAUGGUCCUGGCUGGCAUGGUUCAGUAGUUAUGGUCCCUCCAUUCUCAUUCAGUAGUUAUGGUCCUGGCUGACAUGGUUCAGUAGUUAUGGUCCCUCCAUUCUCAUUCAUUAGUUAUGGUCCUGGCUGACAUGGUUCAGUAGUUAUGGUCCUGGCUGACACUGAGGAUAAUGGUGGAUUCCCAGUGAAUGUUUUAUCUCUCAGUAUAGGAAUGCAGG